AGUGAACGCUGGCGGUAGGCCUAACACAUGCAAGUCGAACGGCAGCACAGUAAGAGCUUGCUCUUACGGGUGGCGAGUGGCGGACGGGUGAGGAAUACAUCGGAAUCUACUUUUUCGUGGGGGAUAACGUAGGGAAACUUACGCUAAUACCGCAUACGACCUACGGGUGAAAGCAGGGGAUCUUCGGACCUUGCGCGAUUGAAUGAGCCGAUGUCGGAUUAGCUAGUUGGCGGGGUAAAGGCCCACCAAGGCGACGGUCCGUAGCUGGUCUGAGAGGAUGAUCAGCCACACUGGAACUGAGACACGGUCCAGACACCUACGGGAGGCAGCAGUGGGGAAUAUUGGACAAUGGGCGCAAGCCUGAUCCAGCCAUACCGCGUGGGUGAAGAAGGCCUUCGGGUUGUAAAGCCCUUUUGUUGGGAAAGAAAAGCAGCAGGUUAAUACCCCGCUGUUCUGACGGUACCCAAAGAAUAAGCACCGGCUAACUUCGUG
Molecule: ribosomal RNA, 492 nt
Filed under: uncultured bacterium
Lineage: Bacteria
Description: partial 16S ribosomal RNA
Rfam family: Bacterial small subunit ribosomal RNA
Source: RNAcentral